GACGAACGCUGGCGGCGUGCCUAAUACAUGCAAGUCGAGCGGACCGAACAGGAGCUUUCUCUUCUUCUGUUAGCGGCGGCCGGGUGAGUAACACGUGGGUAACCUGCCCGUAAAACCGGGAUAACUCCGUGAAACCGGAGCUAAUACCGGAUAACACCGAAGACCGCCUGGUCUUUGGUUUAAUGGCGGCUUCGUCUUCCACUUACGCAUGUGCCCGCGGCGCAUUAGCUAGUUGGUGAGGUAACGGCUCACCAAGGCGACGAUGCGUAGCCGGCCUGAGAGGGUGACCGGCCACACUGGGACUGAGACACGGCCCAGACUCCUACGGGAGGCAGCAGUAGGGAAUCUUCCGCAAUGGACGAAAGUCUGACGGAGCGACGCCGCGUGAGCGAAGAAGGGCGUCGGAUCGUAAAGCUCUGUUGUUAGGGAAGAAGAAGCGUCGUUCGAACAGGGCGGCGCGGUGACGGUACCUAACGAGAAAGCCCCGGCUAACUACGUG
RNAcentral lists this ribosomal RNA (499 nucleotides) under uncultured bacterium. RNAcentral describes it as "partial 16S ribosomal RNA". It matches the Rfam family "Bacterial small subunit ribosomal RNA", at positions 28 to 507 of the family's 1533-position model. The record is from RNAcentral.